Long non-coding RNA from Gasterosteus aculeatus aculeatus (three-spined stickleback), 420 nucleotides. Lineage: Eukaryota; Metazoa; Chordata; Actinopteri; Perciformes; Gasterosteidae. The record is from Ensembl.
GUGAGAAAAAGCCUGAGGCAGGCUGAAGCAGGGAAGAAGAAGAAGAAGACGGGUAGAUGAAAUUACACCUGCGGGUCUGUUAGCUUUAGCAGCCGGAGUAUAGCGGGUUUGUCCCACAACACACCCCAAGGGUCCGUAAGAAAUAAAGACCCCGUGAUUCAUUUCCUCCGGCCUGAAAGACGGGAAAUGAAUAGAAAGCUUGGAUAUUGUCAGUCGCUAAAUGGGAAAGCAGUUGCUCGGGAGGCACAAUGCAGAUGGAGGUAAGAAUGAAGGAGAUGAAGCCACGUCCUUCGUCCCCUCCCUGAUGCCUCGGCCUGGUUCCACUCCUGGAGCAGCUGGACACUCUCAGGUGUCGUUUGCUAGCAGAGGAGCCGAACGGCGCUGGAAACAGGCGGUGCUUCUUCGCCUACAGCAAGCUCA